RNAcentral lists this long non-coding RNA (207 nucleotides) under Nicotiana benthamiana. RNAcentral's name for it is "long non-coding RNA (NBEN_LNC020089)". Lineage: Eukaryota; Viridiplantae; Streptophyta; Magnoliopsida; Solanales; Solanaceae. The record is from RNAcentral.
CUCUACCCAAGGGUAUGGGUAAGGUCUGCGUACACACUACCAUCCCCAGACCUCACUAAGUGGGAUUAUACUGGGUUGUUGUUGUUGUUGUUGUUCAUCUAGUACAGCCCUAAGCUUUGUAAAUUUCUUUUCUCUUUCCCUUCGGUCAGCCCUUCGAUCUCUUAAGUUAUUUUGCAUCGACCUUGGGAUAUUCCUGAUAAUUUCAGG